GGUUAAGCGACUAAGCGUACACGGUGGAUGCCCUGGCAGUCAGAGGCGAUGAAGGACGUGCUAAUCUGCGAAAAGCGUCGGUAAGGUGAUAUGAACCGUUAUAACCGGCGAUGUCCGAAUGGGGAAACCCAGUGCAAUUCGUUGCACUAUCGUUAACUGAAUACAUAGGUUAACGAGGCGAACCGGGGGAACUGAAACAUCUAAGUACCCCGAGGAAAAGAAAUCAACCGAGAUUCCCCCAGUAGCGGCGAGCGAACGGGGAGCAGCCCAGAGUCUGAAUCAGCUUGUGUGUUAGUGGAACGGUCUGGAAAGUCCGACGGUACAGGGUGAUAGUCCCGUACACCAAAAUGCACAGGUUGUGAACUCGAAGAGUAGGGCGGGACACGUGGUAUCCUGUCUGAAUAUGGGGGGACCAUCCUCCAAGGCUAAAUACUCCUGACUGACCGAUAGUGAACCAGUACCGUGAGGGAAAGGCGAAAAGAACCCCGGCGAGGGGAGUGAAAAAGAACCUGAAACCGUGUACGUACAAGCAGUGGGAGCACCUUCGGGUGUGACUGCGUACCUUUUGUAUAAUGGGUCAGCGACUUAUAUUCUGUAGCAAGGUUAACCGUAUAGGGGAGCCGCAGGGAAACCGAGUCUUAACUGGGCGUUAAGUUGCAGGGUAUAGACCCGAAACCCGGUGAUCUAGCCAUGGGCAGGUUGAAGGUUGGGUAACACUAACUGGAGGACCGAACCGACUAAUGUUGAAAAAUUAGCGGAUGACUUGUGGCUGGGGGUGAAAGGCCAAUCAAACCGGGAGAUAGCUGGUUCUCCCCGAAAGCUAUUUAGGUAGCGCCUCGUGAACUCAUCUUCGGGGGUAGAGCACUGUUUCGGCUAGGGGGUCAUCCCGACUUACCAACCCGAUGCAAACUACGAAUACCGAAGAAUGUUAUCACGGGAGACACACGGCGGGUGCUAACGUCCGUCGUGAAGAGGGAAACAACCCAGACCGCCAGCUAAGGUCCCAAAGUCAUGGUUAAGUGGGAAACGAUGUGGGAAGGCACAGACAGCCAGGAUGUUGGCUUAGAAGCAGCCAUCAUUUAAAGAAAGCGUAAUAGCUCACUGGUCGAGUCGGCCUGCGCGGAAGAUGUAACGGGGCUAAACCAUGCACCGAAGCUGCGGCAGCGACACUAUGUGUUGUUGGGUAGGGGAGCGUUCUGUAAGCCUGCGAAGGUGACCUGUGAGGGUUGCUGGAGGUAUCAGAAGUGCGAAUGCUGACAUAAGUAACGAUAAAGCGGGUGAAAAGCCCGCUCGCCGGAAGACCAAGGGUUCCUGUCCAACGUUAAUCGGGGCAGGGUGAGUCGACCCCUAAGGCGAGGCCGAAAGGCGUAGUCGAUGGGAAACAGGUUAAUAUUCCUGUACUUGGUGUUACUGCGAAGGGGGGACGGAGAAGGCUAUGUUAGCCGGGCGACGGUUGUCCCGGUUUAAGCAUGUAGGCUGGUUGUCCAGGCAAAUCCGGAUAAUCAAGGCUGAGGUGUGAUGACGAGGCACUACGGUGCUGAAGUAACAAAUGCCCUGCUUCCAGGAAAAGCCUCUAAGCAUCAGGUAACAUUAAAUCGUACCCCAAACCGACACAGGUGGUCAGGUAGAGAAUACCAAGGCGCUUGAGAGAACUCGGGUGAAGGAACUAGGCAAAAUGGUGCCGUAACUUCGGGAGAAGGCACGCUGGUGUGUAGGUGAAGUCCCUGCGGAUGGAGCUGAGACCAGUCGAAGAUACCAGCUGGCUGCAACUGUUUAUUAAAAACACAGCACUGUGCAAACACGAAAGUGGAUGUAUACGGUGUGACGCCUGCCCGGUGCCGGAAGGUUAAUUGAUGGGGUUAUCCGUAAGGAGAAGCUCUUGAUCGAAGCCCCGGUAAACGGCGGCCGUAACUAUAACGGUCCUAAGGUAGCGAAAUUCCUUGUCGGGUAAGUUCCGACCUGCACGAAUGGCGUAAUGAUGGCCAGGCUGUCUCCACCCGAGACUCAGUGAAAUUGAACUCGCUGUGAAGAUGCAGUGUACCCGCGGCAAGACGGAAAGACCCCGUGAACCUUUACUAUAGCUUGACACUGAACAUUGAGCCUUGAUGUGUAGGAUAGGUGGGAGGCUUUGAAGCGUGGACGCCAGUCUGCGUGGAGCCAACCUUGAAAUACCACCCUUUAAUGUUUGAUGUUCUAACGUUGGCCCCUUACCGGGGUUGCGGACAGUGUCUGGUGGGUAGUUUGACUGGGGCGGUCUCCUCCCAAAGCGUAACGGAGGAGCACGAAGGUUAGCUAAUCCUGGUCGGACAUCAGGAGGUUAGUGCAAUGGCAUAAGCUAGCUUGACUGCGAGCGUGACGGCGCGAGCAGGUGCGAAAGCAGGUCAUAGUGAUCCGGUGGUUCUGAAUGGAAGGGCCAUCGCUCAACGGAUAAAAGGUACUCCGGGGAUAACAGGCUGAUACCGCCCAAGAGUUCAUAUCGACGGCGGUGUUUGGCACCUCGAUGUCGGCUCAUCACAUCCUGGGGCUGAAGUAGGUCCCAAGGGUAUGGCUGUUCGCCAUUUAAAGUGGUACGCGAGCUGGGUUUAGAACGUCGUGAGACAGUUCGGUCCCUAUCUGCCGUGGGCGCUGGAGAAUUGAGGGGGGCUGCUCCUAGUACGAGAGGACCGGAGUGGACGCAUCACUGGUGUUCGGGUUGUCAUGCCAAUGGCACUGCCCGGUAGCUAAAUGCGGAAGAGAUAAGUGCUGAAAGCAUCUAAGCACGAAACUUGCCCCGAGAUGAGUUCUCCCUGAGACUAUAAGUCUCCUGAAGGAACGUUAAAGACGAUGACGUUGAUAGGCCGGGUGUGUAAGCGCAGCGAUGCGUUGAGCUAACCGGUACUAAUGAACCGUGAGGCUUAACCUU
RNAcentral lists this ribosomal RNA (2902 nucleotides) under Klebsiella pneumoniae. RNAcentral's name for it is "23S ribosomal RNA". It matches the Rfam family "Bacterial large subunit ribosomal RNA". The record is from RNAcentral. Lineage: Bacteria; Pseudomonadati; Pseudomonadota; Gammaproteobacteria; Enterobacterales; Enterobacteriaceae.